Molecule: ribosomal RNA, 401 nt
Filed under: uncultured bacterium
Lineage: Bacteria
Description: bacterial SSU rRNA
Rfam family: Bacterial small subunit ribosomal RNA
Source: RNAcentral
GGAAUAUUGCGCAAUGGAGGAAACUCUGACGCAGUGACGCCGCGUGCAGGAAGAAGGUUUUCGGAUUGUAAACUGCUUUAGACAGGGAAGAAACAAGACAGUACCUGUAGAAUAAGCUCCGGCUAACUACGUGCCAGCAGCCGCGGUAAUACGUAGGGAGCAAGCGUUAUCCGGAUUUACUGGGUGUAAAGGGAGCGUAGACGGCAGCACAAGUCUGGAGUGAAAUGCCGGGGCUUAACCCCGGAACUGCUUUGGAAACUGUGCAGCUAGAGUGCAGGAGAGGUAAGUGGAAUUCCUAGUGUAGCGGUGAAAUGCGUAGAUAUUAGGAGGAACACCAGUGGCGAAGGCGGCUUACUGGACUGUAACUGACGUUGAGGCUCGAAAGCGUGGGGAGCAAACAG